RNAcentral lists this ribosomal RNA (2915 nucleotides) under Candidatus Methanoliparum thermophilum. RNAcentral describes it as "23S ribosomal RNA". It matches the Rfam family "Archaeal large subunit ribosomal RNA". The record is from RNAcentral. Lineage: Archaea; Methanobacteriati; Methanobacteriota; Candidatus Methanoliparia; Candidatus Methanoliparales; Candidatus Methanoliparaceae.
CGUCCGAUGGAUGGCUUGGUUUGGGCGCUGAUGAAGGGCGUGGCAAGCUGCGAUAAGCCUCGGCGAGGUGCAAGCAACCAAAGAACCGAGGAUUCCCUAAUAGGAUGUCCUACUCUUGUUAGAGUACUCCGUAUAGGAGGAGGAACGUGGGGAAUUGAAGCAUCUUAGUACCCAUAGGAAAAGAAAUCAAAAAGAGAUGCCGUGAGUAAAGGCGAUCGAAAACGGCAGAGUCCAAACUGAAUCCUCGUUAAGAGGAGAUGUAGUGUUUUAGGACCUAAUGUACGCUUGGCAAAAGAAACCGAAGUUCCUUUGAAUAGGAUGCCAUAGAGGGUGAUAGCCCCGUAGGUGUAAUUUUGCCAAGUAUUUGAUUGGGUAUCCUGAGUAGUGUGGGUCGGAAAUCCCGCAUGAAGUUGGGGGACACUAACCUCCAAGACUAAAUACGUCCCAAAACCGAUAGUGCAAUAGUACCGUGAGGGAAAGCUGAAAAGUACCUCUAGAAAAGAGGUGAAAAGUGCCUAAAAUCGGGCGGUUAUUGUGUGAUAUGGCUCAGAAGGAUCGAAUCUUCUCGAAGGAAAUCUUUGUAAAGGGAGAGUACGAGAGAAGAGGACCAGGGUCAUAUUGUACGUGGUGAAAUACGGGCCAGGGAGUGUAUUCGAGUGGUAAGGCUAAAUCGAAAAGAUGAAGCCGAAGGGAAACCAACAGGUGCGUAGCCUGUAUAGGCGUGGCACGACGUUUUUAGAGCGUGAAAUCACUCGAAUACGACCCGAAACCAGGUGAUCUAAGCGUGGGCAGGAUGAAGCGUGACGAAAGUUGCGUGGAGGUCCGUAGAGAUGUUGAUGUGCAAAUCACUCUUUUGACCUGCGUUUAGUGGUGAAAGUCCAAUCAAACCUGGAUAUAGCUGGUUCCUCCCAAAACAUGUCGUAGCAUGACCUCAUCAGAGAUGGAUAGUAUGGUAGAGAACUGAAUUGGAGGCUAGGGAAGGAAACUUCUCUCCUCCUUAUCAAACUCCGAACAUACUAUCGUCAUAGAAGAUGGGAGUCCGGGUUGGGGGAUAAACUUCUAACCCGAGAGGGGAACAACCCUGACCGGAGUUAAGGUCCCUAAAUGUCAGUUAAGUGUUAAGGGUAAAAGGCUUAUAUACCUAAGACAGCUGGAAGGUUAGCUUAGAAGCAGCUAUCCUUUAAAGAGUGCGUAAAAGCUCACCAGUCGAGGUGUAUAAACCUUAAAAUGGACGGGGCUAAAACUGACUACCGAGACUCCGGGGCACCGAGAGGUGAUCCGGUAGGGAGGCGUUCGGGAUGGGUAGAAGCAAGGCCGUGAGGUCUUGUGGACCGUCUUGAAAUGAAGAUCCUGGCAAUAGUAGCAGCAUAAUUCCGUGAGAAUCGGAAUCGCCGGAAGGGCUAGGUUUCUUCGGCACUGUUCGUCAGCCGAAGGUUAGCCGGUCCUAAGAUAAGUCGUAAUUCGAGCUUAUCAAAAGGGAAACAGGUUAAUAUUCCUGUGCCGCUAUUUUACUUAGUUAAGAAGAGGACGCUUUGGGAUAGGCUGGGCUGUCUUGUCUGGCAGUCUAAGCUUUUGAAACCCGUGGAGAACCGUAAUGGUGAGAAGCGGGUGAAGAGGUGAUGGCGAAAGCCAGCUGAUUCCGAGAGCCCGUGAAAACCCUUCUUGAUGUAAAAUAGUGACCGUACCAAGAACCGACACAGGUGCCCCUAGGUGAAUAGCCUAAGGCGUGUCGGAUUUAAUCAAGCCAAGGGAACUCGACAAAUUAGCCCCGUAUCUUAGGUAUAAGGGGUGUCUGCCGUGAAGACGGCAGAUCGCAGUGACAAAGAGGCUUCGACUGUUUAAUAAAAACAUAGGUGGUCGCAAACCCGUAAGGGCUGGUAUGACCAUUGAGUCCUGCCCAGUGCCGGUACCUGAAAGCCCUUUUCAAGGGGAAGAAGGGCCGGUAAACGGCGGGGGUAACUAUGACCCUCUUAAGGUAGCGUAAUACCUUGCCGCUUAAUUGGCGGCUUGCAUGAAAGGAUUAACGAGAGCCUCACUGUCCCUGGCUUGAAUCCGGUGAAAUUGACGUCCCAGUGUGAAGUCUGGGGUUUCCCAAUGGGAAGUGAAGACCCCGUGGAGCUUAACUGUAGCCUGUCGCUGGAAUACGGUCUUGGAUGUGCAGAGUAGGUAGGAGGCGUAGAAGUCUUCUCGCCAGGGAAGAUGGAGCCGUCGAUGAGACACUACCCUUCUGAGGCUGUAUUUCUAACUUCGAGAGAAGAACAACGAUUGGUGGACAGUUUGGGUGGGGCGCCACCCCGCUGAAAAGAUAUCGGCGGGGCCCAAAGGUCGGCUCAGGUGAGUCAGAAACUUACCGUAGAGUGUAAGGGCAUAAGCCGGCUUGAUGUGAUUCUGGAUAACAGGGAAUCACAAACCGAAAGGUGGGCCUAACGAACUUUUAAAUCCCUCUUAGUGAGGGUUAAAAACAACAGAAAAGCUACCCCGGGGAUAACAGAGUUGUCGCCAGCAAGAGUACAUAUCGACCUGGCGGUUUGCUACUUCGAUGUCGGCUCUUCCUAUCCUGGCUGUGCAGCAGCGGCCAAGGGUGGGGGAGUUCACCCAUUAAAAGGGAUCGUGAGCUGGGUUUAGACCGUCGCGAGACAGGUUGGUUACUAUCUAUUGGGAAUGCACGAACAUCUGAGAGGAGGUUGGAAGUAGUACGAGAGGAACCUUCUAACGGUGCCUCUGGUUUACCAGUUGUCCGACAGGGCAAUGCUGGGCAGCUACGCACCACCAGAUAAGAGCUGAAAGCAUCUAAGCUCGAAACUGACCUCAAAAAUAGAUGUUCUUAAGGGUACCUCUAAAAGAGAGGAUUGAUAGAGUUGGGGUGUAAGCACUAAGGUAACGAGGUGUUCAGCCUGCAACCACUAACAACCCGA